This 861-nucleotide ribosomal RNA is filed under the name Flavocetraria cucullata. RNAcentral's name for it is "SSU rRNA". It matches the Rfam family "Bacterial small subunit ribosomal RNA", at positions 370 to 1218 of the family's 1533-position model. Lineage: Eukaryota; Fungi; Ascomycota; Lecanoromycetes; Lecanorales; Parmeliaceae. The record is from RNAcentral.
GUAUAGCAAUAGCUACUUGCAUCAUUCUAAAUAUGAUGCAAGAUCGACUAUGUCGAAUAAAAUUCUAGGUAGAAUUAUGAUAAUGACAUUGUCUGCCUAUGUGUCUUGACCAAAUUACGUGCCAGCAGUCGCGGUAAUACGUAGAAGACUAGUGUUAUUCAUGUUUAAUCGGUUUAAAGGGUACCUAGACGGUAAAUCAAGCCUAAAAGGAAAUAAAUGAAGGGACUAAUUUACUAGAGUUACUUAUGAGGGGGUAUUAAAGUACUGCUGGUGUAGAGAUGAAAUUCUGUCAUACCUCUUUUCAAUAGAAAAAUAAUGGCACAGGUAUAGGCGAAAGCAUCCCCUUAUGUGAUAACUGACGUUGAGGGACGAAGGCUUUGUGUAGCGAACAGGAUUAGAUACCCCAGUAGUCAAAGCAGAAAAUGAUGAAUGUCAUAGAUUAGAUAUAUAAGUUUAUUCUAUAAAUGAAAGUGUAAGCAUUCCACCUCAAGAGUAAUUUGGCAACAUUGGAACUGAAAUCAUUAGACCGUUUCUGAAACCAGUAGUGAAGUAUGUUGUUUAAUUUGAUGAUCCGCAAAAAACCUUACCACAAUUUGAAUAUUUAUAUCUUUUAUUGUUUUUCUUUUUAACUUUCUUCUGAUUUUCUACUUAAAAGAAAACAAUAACAAGAAAAAAGAGGCAAUAAGAUAUAUUUACAAGCGUUGCACGGCUGUCUUCAGUUAAUGUCGCGAGACUCUGGUUAGUUCCAUUAAAUUAACGUAAACCCUUACUUUAUUUUUAUAUAGAGUAGUUCCCCGCUAUAUUGGAUAUGAUAACAGGGACUAAGACAAGUCAUCAUGGCCUAAAAUAUUGUGGGCUAUA